Long non-coding RNA from Melanaphis sacchari, 184 nucleotides. RefSeq lists it as uncharacterized. The transcript has 3 exons. The record is from RefSeq and is a predicted model, not a curated record. Lineage: Eukaryota; Metazoa; Arthropoda; Insecta; Hemiptera; Aphididae.
UGUUAAUUGUUAUUAGUUUUGACAUAUUUAAAAUGGUGGAAAAAAUAGGGGAUUUGCAUAAUUUUAUACAUUUUAAGUUACUUGCUCCAGAUGGGAUUAAGAAAUGUCAAAAUAUAAAUAAUGAAGAAAAAAAUGGACAAACCAUUAUUUUAGAUAAAUAUAAUUCAAGAGAUGUUUCAAUAAU